RNAcentral lists this ribosomal RNA (455 nucleotides) under uncultured organism. Its description in RNAcentral is "partial 16S ribosomal RNA". It matches the Rfam family "Bacterial small subunit ribosomal RNA", at positions 330 to 801 of the family's 1533-position model. The record is from RNAcentral.
CGUACACUCCUGCGGGAGGCAGCAGUGGGGAAUAUUGGACAAUGGGCGCAAGCCUGAUCCAGCCAUGCCGCGUGAGUGAUGAAGGCCCUAGGGUUGUAAAGCUCUUUCACCGGAGAAGAUAAUGACGGUAUCCGGAGAAGAAGCCCCGGCUAACUUCGUGCCAGCAGCCGCGGUAAUACGAAGGGGGCUAGCGUUGUUCGGAAUUACUGGGCGUAAAGCGCACGUAGGCGGAUCGAUCAGUCAGGGGUGAAAUCCCAGGGCUCAACCCUGGAACUGCCUUUGAUACUGUCGAUCUGGAGUAUGGAAGAGGUGAGUGGAAUUCCGAGUGUAGAGGUGAAAUUCGUAGAUAUUCGGAGGAACACCAGUGGCGAAGGCGGCUCACUGGUCCAUUACUGACGCUGAGGUGCGAAAGCGUGGGGAGCAAACAGGAUUAGAUACCCGUGUAGUCCCAUGAU